AUGAAUCCCAAAGGGUCACAGGUGGGAUGGGGGGACCAGCCGUCCUUCCAGUCUUCCUUGAGCCAAAAGACCUCAAUUUUUGCCGUUUCAGAUCUGGAUCGACCUUGCAUCCUUUCUCUGCUUUCCAAACAAAUCCGAAUGUUCGGACAUGAACUUGACAGUGUUCAUCUCACCGUUGCCCUGGAGACAAGUCAGGAGAUCAAUAAAACCAGCGUUGAGAGCGGAAGGAACCGAUCUUCAUGCUGGUAUCAAAUGCCACAUCUCUGCAGCACGUGGAGAAGGGCCAGCAAGCAGUGAGUGACCUGGUUAGACGUUCCAAAAACACCGAAUUGAUAUUAUUGGCCUCAUCAGCAUUGUCUCUCCUAGAGGUUGCUCCUCAUUAGCCCAAGAGAGGUUAAAGAAAAGAACUGUGACUGUUGCCUUCAAUGCAGAGGGAUUGGCCAAGAAAAAAGCAGAGACACGGAAUGAUGGAUGCCACCGAUCCGGUGCUCUGUUGGUGCCAGGCCCCGUGCUGAGUUCCUGGGGGGGCAGUGUCUCAUUUCAUCCUCGCAACAACACUUGGAAGACAAUCUGAUUAUUCCCAUUCUGUAGAUGGGGAUAACUGAGGCUUGACGUUAGGAAGCUUGUCCUCAUUUGCGCAGCUGGUCAUUCAUGCAGACGUCUGUCCAGCCCCUCCCCAGUCCCCCAGAUCCCGAAGUGAAGACUAACUCUGAGUCUCCAUCAUGUCAUGCUCCCGCUCUCCAGCAGCAGAAUGAAGGAGGAGGUGCAAAGAGGUCAUCUAAUCCAGCCCCUCCUUUCUCCAGUGAGGACACUGAUUUCAGAGAUGGAAAGUGACUUGCCCAAGGUCACACAGCAGAGCUAUGACUAGUGCACCAGAUUCUGGACUGUCAGCUCCAGGCUCUUUGCAAAGAUGAAAUCCACUUGUGUGCCUGCCUGCAUCACUCCCUUGACAUUAGCAGGAAAUAUCCAACUCCUCAAUGAUGUGGAACUAAAAGGGCCGGAAAGAUGGGAAGACAGAAUUUUUACAUAAUAUAAGUGAAGGCCAGAAAUUAUUUUUUCAACAAGCCAAGCUUUAGGAGCACCUAAUAAAUAUAAAGCACGGUUCA
This 1106-nucleotide long non-coding RNA is filed under the name Sus scrofa (pig). RNAcentral describes it as "lncRNA (ENSSSCG00025042300.1)". Lineage: Eukaryota; Metazoa; Chordata; Mammalia; Artiodactyla; Suidae. The record is from RNAcentral.